Molecule: ribosomal RNA, 158 nt
Filed under: Cetraria odontella
Lineage: Eukaryota; Fungi; Ascomycota; Lecanoromycetes; Lecanorales; Parmeliaceae
Description: 5.8S ribosomal RNA
Rfam family: 5.8S ribosomal RNA
About the family: 5.8S ribosomal RNA (5.8S rRNA) is a component of the large subunit of the eukaryotic ribosome. It is transcribed by RNA polymerase I as part of the 45S precursor that also contains 18S and 28S rRNA. Functionally, it is thought that 5.8S rRNA may be involved in ribosome translocation.
Source: RNAcentral
AACUUUCAACAACGGAUCUCUUGGUUCCAGCAUCGAUGAAGAACGCAGCGAAAUGCGAUAACUAAUGUGAAUUGCAGAAUUCAGUGAAUCAUCGAGUCUUUGAACGCACAUUGCGCCCCUCGGUAUUCCGGGGGGCAUGCCUGUUCGAGCGUCAUUAU